Molecule: ribosomal RNA, 492 nt
Filed under: uncultured bacterium
Lineage: Bacteria
Description: partial 16S ribosomal RNA
Rfam family: Bacterial small subunit ribosomal RNA
Source: RNAcentral
AGUGAACGCUGGCGGUAGGCCUAACACAUGCAAGUCGAACGGCAGCACAGUAAGAGCUUGCUCUUACGGGUGGCGAGUGGCGGACGGGUGAGGAAUACAUCGGAAUCUACUUUUUCGUGGGGGAUAACGUAGGGAAACUUACGCUAAUACCGCAUACGACCUACGGGUGAAAGCAGGGGAUCUUCGGACCUUGCGCGAUUGAAUGAGCCGAUGUCGGAUUAGCUAGUUGGCGGGGUAAAGGCCCACCAAGGCGACGAUCCGUAGCUGGUCUGAGAGGAUGAUCAGCCACACUGGAACGGAGACACGGUCCAGACUCCUACGGGAGGCAGCAGUGGGGAAUAUUGGACAAUGGGCGCAAGCCUGAUCCAGCCGUACCGCGUGGGUGAAGAAGGCCUUCGGGUUGUAAAGCCCUUUUGUUGGGAAAGAAAAGCAGCAGGUUAAUACCCCGCUGUUCUGACGGUACCCAAAGAAUAAGCACCGGCUAACUUCGUG